This 30-nucleotide ribosomal RNA is filed under the name Pisolithus tinctorius. RNAcentral describes it as "partial 28S ribosomal RNA". The record is from RNAcentral. Lineage: Eukaryota; Fungi; Basidiomycota; Agaricomycetes; Boletales; Pisolithaceae.
AAGGCUUGACCUCAAAGCAGGUAGGUAGUA